RNAcentral lists this ribosomal RNA (1298 nucleotides) under Mycolicibacterium bacteremicum. Its description in RNAcentral is "bacterial SSU rRNA". It matches the Rfam family "Bacterial small subunit ribosomal RNA", at positions 122 to 1432 of the family's 1533-position model. Lineage: Bacteria; Bacillati; Actinomycetota; Actinomycetes; Mycobacteriales; Mycobacteriaceae. The record is from RNAcentral.
UGAUCUGCCCUGCACUUUGGGAUAAGCCUGGGAAACUGGGUCUAAUACCGAAUAGGAUCACUGGCUUCAUGGUCGGUGGUGGAAAGCUUUUGCGGUGUGGGAUGGGCCCGCGGCCUAUCAGCUUGUUGGUGGGGUAAUGGCCUACCAAGGCGACGACGGGUAGCCGGCCUGAGAGGGUGACCGGCCACACUGGGACUGAGAUACGGCCCAGACUCCUACGGGAGGCAGCAGUGGGGAAUAUUGCACAAUGGGCGCAAGCCUGAUGCAGCGACGCCGCGUGAGGGAUGACGGCCUUCGGGUUGUAAACCUCUUUCAGCACAGACGAAGCGCAAGUGACGGUAUGUGCAGAAGAAGGACCGGCCAACUACGUGCCAGCAGCCGCGGUAAUACGUAGGGUCCGAGCGUUGUCCGGAAUUACUGGGCGUAAAGAGCUCGUAGGUGGUUUGUCGCGUUGUUCGUGAAAACUCACAGCUUAACUGUGGGCGUGCGGGCGAUACGGGCAGACUGGAGUACUGCAGGGGAGACUGGAAUUCCUGGUGUAGCGGUGGAAUGCGCAGAUAUCAGGAGGAACACCGGUGGCGAAGGCGGGUCUCUGGGCAGUAACUGACGCUGAGGAGCGAAAGCGUGGGGAGCGAACAGGAUUAGAUACCCUGGUAGUCCACGCCGUAAACGGUGGGUACUAGGUGUGGGUUUCCUUCCUUGGGAUCCGUGCCGUAGCUAACGCAUUAAGUACCCCGCCUGGGGAGUACGGCCGCAAGGCUAAAACUCAAAGGAAUUGACGGGGGCCCGCACAAGCGGCGGAGCAUGUGGAUUAAUUCGAUGCAACGCGAAGAACCUUACCUGGGUUUGACAUGCACAGGACGCUGGUAGAGAUAUCAGUUCCCUUGUGGCCUGUGUGCAGGUGGUGCAUGGCUGUCGUCAGCUCGUGUCGUGAGAUGUUGGGUUAAGUCCCGCAACGAGCGCAACCCUUGUCCUAUGUUGCCAGCGGGUUAUGCCGGGGACUCGUAGGAGACUGCCGGGGUCAACUCGGAGGAAGGUGGGGAUGACGUCAAGUCAUCAUGCCCCUUAUGUCCAGGGCUUCACACAUGCUACAAUGGCCGGUACAAAGGGCUGCGAUGCCGUGAGGUGGAGCGAAUCCUUUCAAAGCCGGUCUCAGUUCGGAUCGGGGUCUGCAACUCGACCCCGUGAAGUCGGAGUCGCUAGUAAUCGCAGAUCAGCAACGCUGCGGUGAAUACGUUCCCGGGCCUUGUACACACCGCCCGUCACGUCAUGAAAGUCGGUAACACCCGAAGCCGGUG